This 442-nucleotide ribosomal RNA is filed under the name uncultured bacterium. Its description in RNAcentral is "SSU rRNA". It matches the Rfam family "Bacterial small subunit ribosomal RNA", at positions 26 to 518 of the family's 1533-position model. The record is from RNAcentral.
AGAGCGAACGCUGGCGGCAGGCCUAACACAUGCAAGUCGAGCGCCCCGCAAGGGGAGCGGCAGACGGGAGAGUAACACGUGGGAACGUACCCUUCAGUUCGGAACAACCCAGGGAAACUUGGGCUAAUACCGAAUACGUCCGUAAGGAGAAAGAUUUAUCGCUGAAGGAUCGGCCCGCGUCUGAUUAGCUUGUUGGUGGGGUAACGGCUCACCAAGGCGACGAUCAGUAGCUGGUCUGAGAGGAUGAUCAGCCACACUGGGACUGAGACACGGCCCAGACUCCUACGGGAGGCAGCAGUGGGGAAUAUGGACAAUGGGGCAACCCUGAUCCAGCAAUGCCGCGUGAGUGAUGAAGGCCUUAGGGUUGUAAAGCUCUUUCGCCCGCGACGAUGAUGACGGUAGCGGGAGAAGAAGCCCCGGCUAACUUCGUGCCAGCAGCCGC